UGGUUUCCGUUUGCUGUUCUUUAGUUGC
Molecule: small RNA, 28 nt
Filed under: Bombyx mori (domestic silkworm)
Lineage: Eukaryota; Metazoa; Arthropoda; Insecta; Lepidoptera; Bombycidae
Description: piRNA piR-bmo-2113802
Source: RNAcentral